RNAcentral lists this long non-coding RNA (755 nucleotides) under Malus domestica (apple). RNAcentral's name for it is "long non-coding RNA (MDOM_LNC010951)". Lineage: Eukaryota; Viridiplantae; Streptophyta; Magnoliopsida; Rosales; Rosaceae. The record is from RNAcentral.
UUCCCUCUGCUUUCAUAUGUAAGACGGGUUGCUCAAUCCCUCCCAUUCCAGAGUGCUGGCAACCAUCCGCUUCAAAAGUACAAGCCCUGUGCCACUAGUUCCCCUCUGCUUCCGUAAGUUCCAUGUCAAAAAUCCCAUAUUACACAUACCAUGCCAAUUUUUCCCUAUAAGCCAUCAUCUCCCCCAUUCAAUAGUGCAGACAACCAUCCACUUCGAAAGAACAAGCCUUCAAAAGUACAAGCCUAUCACAAUUUCCUUCUGCUUCCUUAAAAUUUCGGGUCGGGUCCCAUCCAUGUCGAAAAUCCCAUAUUACACAUACCAUGCCACUUUUUCGAGAAAAACCAUUCAUCUCCCCAAUGCCAACUCCACAUCCAACAUAACCAUGACUUUAACUUGUAGCACCACCACAGAAAACUAAGCACACUCAUCACAACCCAAGACUACCAACCAAUUUAUUCAUUCUAUAUACAAUCUAAACCUAUUUACAGGAGCCUAGUGCUCCCAUCUGCCCUUCAUUCAUCGUCUACAUCAAGAUUCAGAAUGCGACGCAGAGUCUUGGUCGCGGAAUCAGCAUUGUGAAAGAGAUCUCUAGCAGAAGACCCAGAAUACUCCCUAGUUGGGGAUGCGGGUGUAGACUUGGCAAUUGGGUGGUGCAUUUCGAUAUCAGCGGGCGACUUGGGCAAUUCGAGCGACACGGUUCUCUUGGGUCGGAUUGAAAACUUGGGGAUUGGCAAUGAACUCGGUGGGGGAGAGUU